RNAcentral lists this ribosomal RNA (301 nucleotides) under uncultured bacterium. RNAcentral describes it as "partial 16S ribosomal RNA". It matches the Rfam family "Bacterial small subunit ribosomal RNA", at positions 509 to 807 of the family's 1533-position model. The record is from RNAcentral.
CAGUCGCCACGGUAAUACGUAGGGUGCGAGCGUUGUCCGGAUUUAUUGGGCGUAAAGGGCUCGUAGGUGGUUGAUCGCGUCGGAAGUGUAAUCUUGGGGCUUAACCCUGAGCGUGCUUUCGAUACGGGUUGACUUGAGGAAGGUAGGGGAGAAUGGAAUUCCUGGUGGAGCGGUGGAAUGCGCAGAUAUCAGGAGGAACACCAGUGGCGAAGGCGGUUCUCUGGGCCUUUCCUGACGCUGAGGAGCGAAAGCGUGGGGAGCGAACAGGCUUAGAUACCCGAGUAGUCCCUGUCUCUUAUAC